RNAcentral lists this unclassified non-coding RNA (217 nucleotides) under air metagenome. Its description in RNAcentral is "partial contains small subunit ribosomal RNA, internal transcribed spacer 1, and 5.8S ribosomal RNA". The stretch from base 1 to 46 matches the Rfam family "Eukaryotic small subunit ribosomal RNA", at positions 1786 to 1831 of the family's 1831-position model. The record is from RNAcentral.
AAGUCGUAACAAGGUUUCCGUAGGUGAACCUGCGGAAGGAUCAUUAACGUGGGGCUCCGGCCCUGUCGUGAUAGAACCCUUGCCUUUUGAGUACCGUCCGUUGCCUCGGCAGGCCCGCCUGCCAAUGGGGACCCCAAUAAACCCUUUUUAUGUACCUGUAUCAGUCUGAAAAACAAACAAAAAGUUAAAACUUUCAACAACGGAUCUCUUGGUUCUG